This 327-nucleotide ribosomal RNA is filed under the name uncultured eukaryote. RNAcentral describes it as "partial 18S ribosomal RNA". It matches the Rfam family "Eukaryotic small subunit ribosomal RNA", at positions 1470 to 1796 of the family's 1831-position model. The record is from RNAcentral.
CCCUUAGAUGUUCUGGGCCGCACACGCGCUACACUGAAGGAGGCAGCGUGUACUCCUGGAUCGAAAGAUUUGGGUAACCCGCGAAUCUCCUUCGUGCUAGGGAUUGAGGUUUGCAAUUAUCCUUCAUGAACGAGGAAUUCCCAGUAAGUGCAAGUCAUAAGCUUGCGCUGACUACGUCCCUGCCCUUUGUACACACCGCGCGUCGCUACUACCGAUUGAAUGAUUUAGUGAGGACUUCGGACUGGGACCGAUGCGGCUUUCGGGCUGCGUCGGUAUUCUGGAAAGAUGUCCAAACUGUAUCAUUUAGAGGAAGUAAAAGUCGUAACA